Molecule: ribosomal RNA, 413 nt
Filed under: uncultured bacterium
Lineage: Bacteria
Description: bacterial SSU rRNA
Rfam family: Bacterial small subunit ribosomal RNA
Source: RNAcentral
AUGCCAGCAGCCGCGGUAAAACGUAGGUCCCGAGCGUUGUUCGGAUUCACUGGGUGUAAAGGGCGCGUAGGCGGGGAUGCAAGUCAGAUGUGAAAUACCGGUGCUUAACACCGGGGCUGCAUCUGAAACUGUGUUUCUUGAGUGUCGGAGAGGGAAGCGGAAUUCCCAGUGUAGCGGUGAAAUGCGUAGAUAUUGGGAGGAACACCAGUGGCGAAGGCGGCUUUCUGGACGACAACUGACGCUGAGGCGCGAAAGCGUGGGGAGCAAACAGGAUUAGAUACCCUGGUAGUCCACGCCGUAAACGAUGGAUACUAGGUGUAGGAGGUAUCGACCCCUUCUGUGCCGGAGUUAACACAAUAAGUAUCCCACCUGGGGAGUACGGCCGCAAGGUUGAAACUUAAAGGAAUUGACGG